ACACUGGGACUGAGACACGGCCCAGACUCUUACGGGAGGCAGCAGUAGGGAAUCUUCCGCAAUGGACGAAAGUCUGACGGAGCAACGCCGCGUGAGUGAUGAAGGUUUUCGGAUCGUAAAACUCUGUUGUUAGGGAAGAACAAGUACCGUUCGAAUAGGGCGGUACCUUGACGGUACCUAACCAGAAAGCCACGGCUAACUACGUGCCAGCAGCCGCGGUAAUACGUAGGUGGCAAGCGUUGUCCGGAAUUAUUGGGCGUAAAGCGCGCGCAGGCGGUUUCUUAAGUCUGAUGUGAAAGCCCCCGGCUCAACCGGGGAGGGUCAUUGGAAACUGGGGAACUUGAGUGCAGAAGAGGAGAGUGGAAUUCCACGUGUAGCGGUGAAAUGCGUAGAGAUGUGGAGGAACACCAGUGGCGAAGGCGACUCUCUGGUCUGUAACUGACGCUGAGGCGCGAAAGCGUGGGGAGCGAACAGGAUUAGAUACCCUGGUAGUCCACGCCGUAAACGAUGAGUGCUAAGUGUUAGAGGGUUUCCGCCCUUUAGUGCUGCAGCAAACGCAUUAAGCACUCCGCCUGGGGAGUACGGUCGCAAGACUGAAACUCAAAGGAAUUGACGGGGGCCCGCACAAGCGGUGGAGCAUGUGGUUUAAUUCGAAGCAACGCGAAGAACCUUACCAGGUCUUGACAUCCUCUGACAACCCUAGAGAUAGGGCUUCCCCUUCGGGGGCAGAGUGACAGGUGGUGCA
This 745-nucleotide ribosomal RNA is filed under the name Bacillus licheniformis. RNAcentral's name for it is "bacterial SSU rRNA". It matches the Rfam family "Bacterial small subunit ribosomal RNA", at positions 310 to 1045 of the family's 1533-position model. Lineage: Bacteria; Bacillati; Bacillota; Bacilli; Caryophanales; Bacillaceae. The record is from RNAcentral.